RNAcentral lists this long non-coding RNA (464 nucleotides) under Bos taurus (domestic cattle). RNAcentral's name for it is "long non-coding RNA NONBTAT018063". Lineage: Eukaryota; Metazoa; Chordata; Mammalia; Artiodactyla; Bovidae. The record is from RNAcentral.
UUCGAACACUGUAAAGCAUUAUUGCUACCCUGCAUACCUGGAGAGUGUAUACCUUCUCGGAUUACUGUCUAAAGUGACUGUUGCAGCUGCUGUUGCAGAGUGAGUGGUUUUCUUAUAUUUAACAGAGCUGACUCUGUCUUCUUUUUAUAGUUGGAUACCUUGUUCAGUCAGCUGCUAAGUUUUUUCCCCCUGUAUUUUACUUAUGUGAACUUUAAGAAAUACGUAUAGUAAGGAAGGGGGAAAGGUGAAUAAAGAGAGAGAAAUAAGGGCUACUUUGGCCAAACUAUUUUUAAACACUUCUGUAGAAGUCUGGUAUGAACACAGUCUGUGUGUGCUGACUCCUCACUCUCUGCUUUCUGAGGUUCUUGAAGCCUUGCUUGUGAUUUCCUCUUUGAGGGAGUAGAAGUAGGAAGAAAUUAGGGAGACUUCAUUCAUUAAAUAGUUGUAACCAGUAUUUUUGUUUU